CCUCAGUAGUUAGAUAACAAAACUACUCGCCAGAAUACUACGAGCUACAGCUUAAAACUCAAAGGACUUGACGGUGCUUUACACCCCCUAGAGGAGCCUGUUCCGUAAUCGAUAAACCCCGAUCCACCCCACCCUCUCUUGCUCAGCCUAUAUACCGCCAUCUUCAGCAAACCCUAAUGAAGGUCACAAAGUGAGCGCAAACGCCGUCACCGCGAGUACGUUAGGUCAAGGUGUAGCCUAUGAGAUGGUAAAAAAUGGGCUACAUUUUCUACCUCAGAAAAUUCCACGAAAACCCUUAUGAAAUUUAAGGGCCCAAGGAGGAUUUAGCAGUAAAUUAAGAAUAGAGUGCUUAAUUGAACCCAGGCAUAAAGCG
RNAcentral lists this ribosomal RNA (373 nucleotides) under Macaca mulatta (Rhesus monkey). RNAcentral describes it as "partial 12S ribosomal RNA". It matches the Rfam family "Bacterial small subunit ribosomal RNA", at positions 801 to 1381 of the family's 1533-position model. The record is from RNAcentral. Lineage: Eukaryota; Metazoa; Chordata; Mammalia; Primates; Cercopithecidae.